UUUCUUUACCCCAGGAAGAUCGGCCUUGAAGACGUGGGCCUCCGGUGUCUCCUUCCAAUCAAUGCGAGUGUUCGCGAACGACGCCGUUUCUCCGGGAACCGAUAGAGCCCCGCCGAUGAAUGGGAAGUCCUGGAAUGGAUCCCACAGGUCGAACAUGUUGUUCCGUCGACCGCCGAAGAAGCUUGGAAUUAAAGACAUUUUCUGAAAGUUUGUCGCAGGAGAGAGUGACGGAACUGGAAUAUUGGAUUUGCGUUCUGAGAUAUCAACACCUGUUGCUAUGGUACUGGUUGAAGAAAGUUCAGAUUCAGAUAUUUAUAGGUGCAGAUGAGGGUAAUUUCGUCAAAUUGUGUAGUGGAUUCUAGAUGCUUCAAGAAGAUAGAGAAGUAUCUAAAGAGACUGGAUAUAGUGCAAUGUUGUCGCGAGUGCAAAUAUCGGAAUACUCGCGACACGGUGUGCUCGAAAUCUCUGGAAAACGCGGGACAGCUACAAAAUCCAUCCUUUCGGAUGGCAGUACACAUGGGCCUAAAGUGGUUAGCCCAUAUCCAUAUUCCGCAAAUCCAAGCCCAGGUUAUAAAUAUCUUAAAAUGCAUGGUAAAAGGGAAGAGUAUGCUUUGACGACUUUAUGUGAAAAUAAUUAACAAUGCAGGCCCCGCUUUCAUCUUCCACCUUAUUUAAAAAGAUAGCCUUACGUGAUCCAUCAUAGGUCAUGUUUAGUAUGCAUCACAUAUAUUAGGACACUUAGCAUGAGAAAUUUAUCAAGACAAUGACAAAUCAUUUAUCUAAUUAGAAGAUAAUGCACUACAACUUUUAUUGGAUUACUCAAAUUUAUGAACUAAUUGUGAACAAUUUAUUUACUUACAAAGAACCUAUGACUUAUAUCAUUUGUGUAAUUUCAAAUGUAUUUAAGUGAUGUACAAUAUAAGAUAUAUGAGCUGAGUGUUUAAAUCAAUAUCAAUGUAUAAAAAGGAUAACAAAGGAACAGUCAAGUCUAACUUUGUUAUAUCAUGUCUUGCUUUUUUAAUCCCAACAUAGACAAUAAUUACCAAUUUAUCACAUGUCUCAUUGAAUAACUCAAUUAUGAAUUUCCAAUUAAAGAUCUUGUGUCACGCCCCAAAACCCGCUUCAAGGGCAUGAUGAUCAUUUCACACUUCAAGCCUAAAGGCUUAGAGUGGAAACAACACAAACAAUCAUAUUACAACUGGAAAUUUACUAAUCACCAAAUUCCUGUUCAGAGUAGUAGAACAAAAAUUCUAAAAUCUCCAAAUAACAAUUUUUGAAACUAACACAUCAAACCAAGUGUUAUUGUACUAAUAACUUCAAACUCAAAUAAUUCCAAUGUAAAAUAAAUUUUAACAUCUAACAAUGCUCAAAAUAAAGGGAGUUUUGACAAAAGUCCUAACAAGCCAAUUUCCCUUCCUAAUUGUAACUCCUCACCCGAACUAAGGGUACCUGAAAAUUAUCUAUAAAGGGGAAUGAACUCAAAACCCAAUAAAGAAUAUUAAUACAACUUCAUGGAUCAAAUAGUUUCAAUCAUGCUUACAAAUAGGAGAUUUAGUGUAAAAUCAUUUUCAUAAGAACGUUUGAGUACAAAUAUGCUAAUACAUUUUAAGGUGUUUAACCAAACAUUUUCCUAUAUAUCACAGUCAUUUCAUAUCCAUUUCAAAUAAAAUACAUUUCAAUUGUUUUCACUUUGGUUAUCAAAUAACAAAUAGUGCCGAAUUAAGUGGGACUUUACAAAUAGGUGGUUAGCCUCAAAUAUUCAUUUUAAGGUGGACGAAAUCAAACACUACUAAUACUAAUAACCUCUAACCAAACCCCUAGAGGAUAAGGUCCAAAUCAAUUACAUUUCUUACCACAAAAAUGUAAAUGUCAACUAUUAUAUUCCAUUGACAAGGGUUAAAAAGUCAACUAUUAUAUCUUAUUAACAAGGGUCAACAAACCAGAGUCAAAUUCUUUAUUUUACUUAAUCCAAUGUACGAAAGCAGAAAAUCCCCAAGUAUUUCGAUAUAAACAAAAUAAAUGUUAUAAGAUAUUUUUCCAUACAAAAAUAUAUUUGAUCCAUGCUUAAAAGCAAAAUUAACAAUUACACAUUUCAAACCACACACACACACCUCAAAAGAAGUCCUCAAAAACCUACUUUUCACCUAACAAAAUAUAAGAGAAAUAAUCAUUACUAUUUAUAUAAAAUUAUAUGUUUAACAAUUCUAAAAUUUUAGGUAUUCAAAUUAAUGUUUUUAAUUAUGAAAGAUAAUUUAAUCUAUUCCUAUUUUAGAAAAAUUAAUAAAUUUCUAAUUCAUAUAAAACUUAAAUUAUAUUUUCAAUUUAUUUAUUUACUUUUUGGGACACAACAUAAUUUAAUUAAACUACAAUUUUUUUCGCUAAUUAAAUUGUUUGCUACUUAUUAACUUAAUAUUUAUAAUUAAUCUAAUUAUAAUACUAUAAAUUUAACUAAUUAAUUUGUACUUCACCUCGUUAAUUAUACAUAGUUAUUUAUACCACUUUCUUAUUUUUUCAAACACAACUACCAUAACAAUCAUACACUCCAUGUACAAAGCAUGCCUCAUUAUUAUUAUCACUUUCAUCAUUCUUCUAUCUUCCGGUUUCCACAUGCAUGCAACUUUUUUUUUUCCAUCGUUCUUCUAUCUUCCAAUUUUCACACGCAUGCAAUAUAUGUAUAUAUAUAUUUUCCAUUGUGACAUAGUUUCAAAACCUAUUUAUUAUUAUUACACACUAUUAGAAAUCAUCCCAUACAUUGAAAUCUUAUAAUUUUUUUUCCACUCCCACAUAUUAUCAUAUAUUUAUUUACUCAUUUAAUUUUUGAAAUUUCAUUGCUUAGAUAUAUUCAUCUAAAAAAAAUUUGAAUUUCCUUAUUUUCAUCAAUAGAAUAACCUAUAUUUCUAAUUUCAAUAUUUUGACCUAAAAGUUUUAAAAUAAAUCAAUCAUAGCCUAAAUCGAAAUUUUCCAAAGAAUUUUUUUUUUCCAUCUAAAAACUUAAGGUUUUCUAAUUUCAAACAAUAAAUCAAAAUCUUAAAUUUUCAAUAUUUUGAUAUUAAAACGAAUUAAAAAAAAACUAACCUUAAUUUAAAUUAAAUUUUUUUCAAAGAAUAACUAGAGUGUUCAGAACUAACUAACGAAUAUAAUAUAUUAAUUUAGGGUUAGAAUCUUACUUGGAAAAAAAAAUAUGAAUUUCAAACUCUGAACCUUUAACCCUUGAGUCCUGCAAUCUCCAAUUCUCUAAUUCUAGUUGAUAGGGUUUUUUGAAUGAAGAAGGCAACAUGAAAAUCUAAUUUAUACCUAGGAUUUUUAAUUGUAAAAGAACUCUUUCACCUUUAAUGAAUUUAAUUAAUUACUUAAUUACUUUAUAAAUUACUAUUUUGCCCCUAUAUUAAAUUUGGGGUGUUACAUCUUGACCUUUUACAUUAUUUUCUUGGAAUGGAGAUUAAAUAUUUUGAUAAAAGAACAUUUCUUUCUCAACAAAAAAUAUAUGCAUGAUCUACUUUCAAGAACUAAAAUGCUUUACAAUAAUCCCAUUGCUACACCUCCAGUUCUUGCAAACAAGCCUUCUUUUUUAGACAAUGUCUUAACCGAUGCUAUUGCUUUCCAAAGUGUUGUCAGAACCCUUCAACUUUCAUGUGGUUGGAUAUUAUUCAUACAAUUAAUUGGGUAUGUCAAUAUUUUUAUAACUUUGUUAUAACUCACUUGAAGGUUGUAAAGUGCAUCUUAAGAUACCUUAAGGGAACCCAAUACUUUGGCUUACGUUAUCUUUCCAUCAAUCUAAUAUCUCUUUAUAGGUUUAGUGAUGCCGAUUAGGUAGGUCGUCCCAUUAUAAGGAGCACCAUCGGUUAUUGUGUAUUUAUUAGAGUGACUUGCAUCUUUUGGUGUUCAAAGAAACAACCAAUAGUUGCUAGCUUGAGUAUCGAGGCAUAAAAUCGCUCUUUGGUCUUUUUCACUAUGGAGUUAACUUGGAUUACUUAUUUGCUAUGAGAUAUUAUCAUAUCCAUCUCUAAACUACUACAAUUAUUUUGCACCAAUGUUAGUCUCUUUACUGGUACAUUAACUUUAUGUUUCAUGUUUGUUCUAAAUAUAUUAAGCUUAAUAAUCAUUUUGUGUGAGAUAAAGUUGUUAUGAACAUUUUUAUGUUUCCACACAUUCUUAACUUGCGGAUAUUAUUACCAAAUCUUUAUCACAUGAUGUCUUUAUUAUGUUUUGUGACAAGCUAAACAUCCAUAUUCAUUCAUACUCUAAUUUGAGGGGCAUGCUAAACGAUUUAGGAUAAGAACACACACAAAAAUGUAAGAGCACUCUCAUUAAUAUUUUCAUAAAUAUAAAAAAAUCAAAUAUUGAUAAUAUUUGAUUUUUACAAUACUUGAUUCUCCUAAUUUUAGGAUAUUUUCCUAUAUGUAUUUUUGUUAGGAAUAUGUUUUAUUUCUUUCAUCGUAUACUCAUCUAUAUUUUUGGACGGAAGAAAUAGAAAUUAUAACUUCCAUUAUCAAAAUACACCAAGCUUUACAUUCUAAUGAUUGGAAGUAUUUUUAAUUUAAUUUAACUUUUUUAUUUUUUAAAUAGGUAUUUGUCAGUUUUUUAAAAAUCAAUAUAAAAUUUUUCAUAAAAUACACCAAGCUUUACAAUCUAAUGACUGGAAGUGUUUUUAAUUAUUUAUUUAAUUUAAUUUAACUUUUUUAUUUUUUAAAUAGGUAUUUGUCAGUUUUUUAAAAAUCAAUAUAAAAAAUUUGAAAAUUUACUUGAAAUGAUUUUGACAAUUACUUGAUAAGUGAUUAUUGAUAUAUCAAUAAAAAAUAAUAUCAAAAUAUUUUUUAUUUUAUAUUAAAUAAUAAGGAUUCAUUUGAAUACAUUUCUUUAUUGAUUUAAAUUUUAUUUUCUAUUUUUUCUUUCUUUAUCUAUAUAACAUUUAUAAUUAUUUAUUUUUUAUUAUUAAGGAAUAGUUGACUGGUACAUAGUUUGACACUGACAUAGCCCAAAAUUCAAAAGAAAAAUCAUACAGUAGGGCAAAACCCUCAACACCCUCGGCCGCUUACAUCAUUCAUUUAUAAGUUUAUGUGAAUGUAAUUCUCAACCAGAAAUAUCGAUGGCCUUGACAUCAGGUUUCUGGACCUCAGCCUUGGGAACAGUAACUGUAAGAACACCAUUCUCCAUGGCAGCCUUCACCUCAUCCACCUUCACAUUCUCCGGCAAUCUGAACCGCCGCAUGAACUUGCCGCUGCUGCGCUCCACUCGGUGCCACUUGUCAUUCUUCUCCUCCUUCUCAACACUCCUAUCUCCACUGAUCUGCAGAAUCCUCCCUUCCUCAACCUCCACCUUCACUUCCUCUUUCUUUACCCCUGGAAGAUCGGCCUUGAAGACGUGGGCUUCCGGGGUCUCCUUCCAAUCAAUGCGAGUGCUCGCAAACGACGCCGUUUCUCCGGGAACCGAUAGAGCACCGCUGGUGAAUGGGAAGUCUUGGAAUGGAUCCCACAGGUCGAACGUGUUGUUCCGUCGACCGCCGAAGAAGCUUGGAAUUAGAGACAUUUUCUGAAAGUUUGUCGCAAGAGAGAGUGACGGAAUUGGAAUAUUGAAUUGCGUAAUAAGAAAUCAACACCUGUUGCUAUGGUACUGGUUGAAGAAAGUUCAGACUAAGUAAGAUAUUUAUAGUGGCAGACGAGGGUAGUUUCGUCAAAUUGUGUAGUGCAUUCCGGAUGCUUCAAGAAGAUAGAGAAGUAUCUAGAGAGACCGGAUAUAACGCAAUGAUGUCGCGAGUACAAAUAUCGGAAUACUCUGGUGUUGCUCGAAAUCUCUGGAAAACGCGGGACAGCUGCAACAAUCAUCUUUCGGUGAUCGUACACAUGGGCCUAAACUAGUCAGCCCAGGUCCAAAUUCCAUAAAUCCAAGCCCAAAUUGUAAAUAUUUUUAAAUAGCCCUUCUAAAAGGAAAAAGUAUGCAUUCAGGUCUUUUUGUGAAAAUAAUUAAUAAUGCUG
This 5972-nucleotide long non-coding RNA is filed under the name Vitis vinifera (wine grape). RNAcentral describes it as "long non-coding RNA (VVIN_LNC004050)". Lineage: Eukaryota; Viridiplantae; Streptophyta; Magnoliopsida; Vitales; Vitaceae. The record is from RNAcentral.